RNAcentral lists this ribosomal RNA (663 nucleotides) under Hepatozoon canis. Its description in RNAcentral is "bacterial SSU rRNA". It matches the Rfam family "Eukaryotic small subunit ribosomal RNA", at positions 167 to 818 of the family's 1831-position model. The record is from RNAcentral. Lineage: Eukaryota; Apicomplexa; Hepatozoidae.
AUACAUGAGCAAAAUCUCAACUUUAUUAGAAGAGACGCAUUUAUUAGAUAAAAAGCCAAUGCAUGCUUUUACAGUAUGGAAAUUGGUGAUUUAUAAUAACUUGGCAAAUCGCAAAGUGAAAACAGGCGAUAAAUCAUUCAAGUUUCUGACCUAUCAGCUUUCGACGGUAUGGUAUUGGCUUACCGUGGCAGUGACGGUUAACGGGGGAUUAGGGUUCGAUUCCGGAGAGGGAGCCUGAGAAACGGCUACCACAUCUAAGGAAGGCAGCAGGCGCGCAAAUUACCCAAUUCUAACAGUUUGAGAGAGGUAGUAACAAGAAAUAACAAUACAAGGCAAUUAAAAUGCUUUGUAAUUGGAAUGAUAGAAAUUUAAACCCUUUUUAAAGUAUCAAUUGGAGGGCAAGUCUGGUGCCAGCAGCCGCGGUAAUUCCAGCUCCAAUAGCGUAUAUUAAAAUUGUUGCAGUUAAAAAGCUCGUAGUUGAAGUUCUGCUAAAAGUAACCGGUCUGCUUUUAAUAAAAGUGGUAUCUUGGUGUGUAUUUAGCAAUGAUGUCCUUUGAAGUGUUUUUUACUUUAUUGUAAUAAAGCAUAUUCAGGACUUUUACUUUGAGAAAAUUAGAGUGUUUCUAGCAGGCCGACGCUUUGAAUACUGCAGCAUGGAAUAAG